CCUACGGGGCGCAGCAGUGGGGAAUAUUGCACAAUGGGCGCAAGCCUGAUGCAGCCAUGCCGCGUGUAUGAAGAAGGCCUUCGGGUUGUAAAGUACUUUCAGCGGGGAGGAAGGUGUUGUGGUUAAUAACCACAGCAAUUGACGUUACCCGCAGAAGAAGCACCGGCUAACUCCGUGCCAGCAGCCGCGGUAAUACGGAGGGUGCAAGCGUUAAUCGGAAUUACUGGGCGUAAAGCGCACGCAGGCGGUCUGUCAAGUCGGAUGUGAAAUCCCCGGGCUCAACCUGGGAACUGCAUUCGAAACUGGCAGGCUAGAGUCUUGUAGAGGGGGGUAGAAUUCCAGGUGUAGCGGUGAAAUGCGUAGAGAUCUGGAGGAAUACCGGUGGCGAAGGCGGCCUGCUGGACAUUAACUGACGCUGAGGAGCGAAAGCGUGGGGAGCAAACAGGAUUAGAUACCCUAGUAGUC
RNAcentral lists this ribosomal RNA (465 nucleotides) under uncultured bacterium. RNAcentral describes it as "bacterial SSU rRNA". It matches the Rfam family "Bacterial small subunit ribosomal RNA", at positions 338 to 795 of the family's 1533-position model. The record is from RNAcentral.